Molecule: ribosomal RNA, 211 nt
Filed under: uncultured bacterium
Lineage: Bacteria
Description: partial 16S ribosomal RNA
Rfam family: Bacterial small subunit ribosomal RNA
Source: RNAcentral
UACGUAGGCAGCGAGCGUUAUCCGGAUUCACUGGGUUUAAAGGGUGCGUAGGUGGGCAAGUAAGUCAGUGGUGAAAUCUCCGGGCUUAACCCGGAAACUGCCAUUGAUACUAUUUGUCUUGAAUACUGUGGAGGUCAGCGGAAUAUGUCAUGGUAGCGGUGAAAUGCUUAGAUAUGACAUAGAACACCAAUUGCGAAGGCAGCUGGCUACA